RNAcentral lists this ribosomal RNA (76 nucleotides) under Pseudoselenomonas ruminantium. Its description in RNAcentral is "Selenomonas ruminantium (feces metagenome) partial 16S ribosomal RNA". It matches the Rfam family "Bacterial small subunit ribosomal RNA", at positions 1 to 75 of the family's 1533-position model. Lineage: Bacteria; Bacillati; Bacillota; Negativicutes; Selenomonadales; Selenomonadaceae. The record is from RNAcentral.
UUUUAUGGAGAGUUUGAUCCUGGCUCAGGACGAACGCUGGCGGCGUGCUUAACACAUGCAAGUCGAACGAGGUGAU